This is an RNA transcript of Oncorhynchus gorbuscha (pink salmon), 4066 nucleotides long. It is a transcript of the gene named ceramide kinase-like, with no coding region annotated. Lineage: Eukaryota; Metazoa; Chordata; Actinopteri; Salmoniformes; Salmonidae. The record is from RefSeq and is a predicted model, not a curated record. The transcript is spliced from 15 exons.
UGACAAGCGCGUCAACCUAAAGACAGGGACUUUACAGAUACAAAAAAGUUUCUCAUUAAUCUUAUCAGACCUUUAUGGUAUUUAAACAACACUUUGAGAUAUUGUUUUCAGAGUGGAGCUUGUAUCUGGAGAGUGUAUCAUUUUAAUAUGCGGUAAUAUUGAAUUAUUUGAAUCAUUUCUAAAAUAAAUUGUUCUUCGGUUGCCUACAUUCUUCUGUGAUAGUGAUAGAGAACUACAAUCCUGUCUAUCUAUACUAUAGACGUUUGUAGAGAUACACAUAGUAUGGAUGUAGAUCUAGUACAGUUGGAGUCCAGUCUAUGGGUCGGUAAGAAACGUUACCGGGCAGCCCUUACCGAAUGGCACCUCAACUGGACUGGGCUCGAUAAGAAGAACCGUGACAAGACCGUUUCAGUACCAGUGUCGGAGAUUGUUGCUGUGGAGGAGGGGCAUGUGGAGGUUCUGCCCCAGAGGUCAGUUUCUGAAGACACAGACAGAGACUUCACAGUGUUCUAUGUGAAGCGUAGCAGCAACGGUAGUUCCUAUGGGUUGCUAUGGCGCCUGGGCAGGACCCAGUUCAGCUGUCCCAGCAGGGAUCUCAGAGACCAGUGGAUGACCCAGCUGAGGAUUGCCCUCAAAACACACAGCCCCUCUCGUCCUCACAGGUUGUUGGUGUUCAUCAACCCGUUCGGAGGAAAGAAACAAGGGAGGGAGAUCUAUCACUCUCUAGUGGCCCCACUAUUUGAGCUGGCAGGGGUCAGCUCUCAUGUUGUAGUGACAGAGCGGGCCAACCAGGCGAGAGACCACAUAUUGAAGAAAGACCUGACUGGUUUCGAUGGUGUGGUAUGUGUGGGCGGGGAUGGAAUGUUCAGUGAGCUGCUGCACGGUGUGAUUGGCCGAACACAGCAGGAGGCGGGGCUAUCGGAGCAUGACCCCUCCCUACAGUCAUGUGACCUUCACAUUGGCAUCAUUCCUGCAGGCUCCACAGACUGCGUGUGUUUUGCCACUGUGGGAGUCAAUGACCCAGUGACCUCUGCACUGCACAUUAUCAUUGGAGACUCUCAGCCUCUGGACGUGUGUUCUGUCCACCACCGCUCGUCUCUGGUGCGUUACUCUGUGUCUCUGGUAGGAUACGGGUUCUAUGGUGACGUGCUGGCUGAAAGUGAGAGACACCGCUGGAUGGGGCCUCUCCGAUAUGACUAUUCAGGUGCUAUGGUGUACCUGAGUAACAGGAGCUAUGCAGGCCUAGUUCAGUACCUACCAGCAGACCCCCAGCUCUCCAACCCCAGGGACAACACACGCUGCCUCUCUGGGUGCAGUGUGUGUUCUAAGAGCACAGAGAGACUGUUCCCCCACUCUCCAGAUGCUAGUUCCAACUACAUCUCCCACUUCAGGCAGUUCAGCAGCGACUCAGAGGGUGAUUGGGUGAGUGUGGAGGGCCGGUUCAAGGCUGUGUCCCUCACCUGUAUGUCCAGCUCCUGUCCUCGCAGUCCCCUGGGCCUGUCCCCCUCAGCACAUCUGGCCGAUGGGACAGGUGACCUCAUCAUUGUACGGGACACACAUCCCCUAGGGUUCCUCACCUUCCUACACAGACACACCAGCACACAGGACCAGUUUGACCUGUCCUUCGUGGAUGUCCACCGCGUGAAGGCAGUACGUUUCUCUCUCCCACCCGGAGAAAAGGAGGAUGAGGAUGAAGAGAGGGAGACAGUAAAUGGUGGAGGGAUGGCGGAAGAGAGAACAAGCCGGAGCGGUUCCCAACAUCACCUGGUAGAAAGAGGAGAGGAGCGAGGGAUGGCGAAUGACAGGAGGAAGAAAGACUUGUGUGGCCUGUGCUGCAGUAAGCCUCCUUCAGUGUCUGUGUGGAACUGUGAUGGAGAAAUACUACCUCACACUGAGAUCCUCUGCAGGGUUCAUGGUCAGCUGGUGCGUUUGUAUGCCCGGGGCAUGGAGGACGGAUCAGCCACGCCCACCAGGAAGUGAACUGUGUUAGGGUCCGUUCACACUACUGACUGAGGGAGGCCGUGGUAGGGUCCGUUCACACUACUGACUGAGGGAGGCGGUGGUAGGGUCCGUUCACACUACUGACUGAGGGAGGCCGUGGUAGGGUCCAUUCACACUACUGACUGAGGGAGGCCGUGGUAGGGUCCAUUCACACUACUGACUGAGGGAGGCGGAGGUAGGGUCCGUUCACACUACUGACUGAGGGAGGCCGUGGUAGGGUCCGUUCACACUACUGACUGAGGGAGGCCGUGGUAGGGUCCGUUCACACUACUGACUGAGGGAGGCCGUGGUAGGGUCCGUUCACACUACUGACUGAGGGAGGCCGUGGUAGGGUCCCUUCACACUACUGACUGAGGGAGGCCGUGGUAGGGUCCGUUCACACUACUGACUGAGGGAGGCGGAGGUAGGGUCCGUUCACACUACUGACUGAGGGAGGCCGUGGUAGGGUUCGUUCACACUACUGACUGAGGGAGGCCCGUUCACACUACUGACUGAGGGAGGCCGUGGUAGGGUCCGUUCACACUACUGACUGAGGGAGGCCGUAGUAGGGUCCAUUCACACUACUGACUGAGGGAGGCCGUGGUAGGGUCCGUUCACACUACUGACUGAGGGAGGCGAUGGUAGGGUCCGUUCACACUACUGACUGAGGGAGGCCGUGGUAGGGUCCGUUCACACUACUGACUGAGGGAGGCGGAGGUAGGGUCCGUUCACACUACUGACUGAGGGAGGCCGUGGUAGGGUCCGUUCACACUACUGACUGAGGGAGGCCGUGGUAGGGUCCGUUCACACUACUGACUGAGGGAGGCCGUGGUAGGGUCCGUUCACACUACUGACUGAGGGAGGCGGAGGUAGGGUCCGUUCACACUACUGACUGAGGGAGGCCGUGGUAGGGUCCGUUCACACUACUGACUGAGGGAGGCCGUGGUAGGGUCCGUUCACACUACUGACUGAGGGAGGCCGUGGUAGGGUCCGUUCACACUACUGACUGAGGGAGGAGGAGGUAGGGUCCGUUCACACUACUGACUGAGGGAGGCGGAGGUAGGGUCCGUUCACACUACUGACUGAGGGAGGCGGAGGUAAGGUCCGUUCACACUACUGACUGAGGGAGGCCGUGGUAGGGUCCCUUCACACUACUGACUGAGGGAGGCCGUGGUAGGGUCCGUUCACACUACUGACUGAGGGAGGCGGAGGUAGGGUCCGUUCACACUACUGACUGAGGGAGGCCGUGGUAGGGUUCGUUCACACUACUGACUGAGGGAGGCCCGUUCACACUACUGACUGAGGGAGGCCGUGGUAGGGUCCGUUCACACUACUGACUGAGGGAGGCCGUAGUAGGGUCCAUUCACACUACUGACUGAGGGAGGCCGUGGUAGGGUCCGUUCACACUACUGACUGAGGGAGGCCGUGGUAGGGUCCGAUAACACUACUUUCAGAGAAAAAUAAUGCCAAAAAAGAAAACAUAAUUAUAGUCAAUAAUUCUGCCAGCUAGGACCAAUGAAAUGGCUCUCUCUCUCUCUGGGGUAGUUUUUUUUCUAGAGUGAACGGAGCCUUACUGUGAUACUGAGAUGUAUCACAACUGAAGAAGGCUGUAUUACUGUACGAACCUCAUGUAGGCUCAAUGACAACGUAUCAGUUAGUGGGAUGUCUGUGGAAAGACUUAUUUUUCUGACCUGUGACUAUCAACAGAAUAACCAACAGAGCCUUACAUUUGACAUACCUGAUGAAAUGGCUACUGUAACUAACAGUAGGGUCACCAUACAAGUUAGUGGGACAACGGUCAUGAAUGACAUUGGAAGUAGGUGUGACUGAAUGUAACACACUACCCAAAAGAGCCUUCCAUUUCACUUCAUCUGCUUUCUCUCUUGUCAAAAUAUUCAGGAAUGAUUUGGUUAAGUCUUUAGAUGGAGGUUUGAGGUAAUUCAAGGAAUGUACACUGAGUGUUUAAAACAUUAAGAACACCUGCACUUUUCAUGACAGGUGGAUCCAGGUGAAAGCUAUGAUCCCCUUAUUGAUGUCACUUGUUAAAUCCACUUAAAAUCAGUGUAGAUGAAGGGGAGGAGUCCGG